Molecule: long non-coding RNA, 1047 nt
Organism: Neopsephotus bourkii (Bourke's parrot)
Lineage: Eukaryota; Metazoa; Chordata; Aves; Psittaciformes; Psittacidae
Exons: 3
Source: RefSeq, a predicted model, not a curated record
UGAUACCGCGGGCACGGGUUCAACAGGAGGAAGGAGCUGCCAGGUCCAUGCAGGCUCCCUGGAAGAUGCCGGCCUUCCUGCAUGAUGAAGUUGCUGCAAGGGCCCAUCGGCUCCUGGUUGGGUCUGCUUUCACCUCCCAGCUCCCCCCUGCCUGCUGAUGCUCAUAGGAUCAGCCAAAUUUAGGACUCCUUACGGAUGAGCGGAUCCAGCCCCAAACUGAUGGACAACCUCCUCCGAGAGCCUGGGGAUGAUGCGCCAGAUGGAUCCAUGCCAUAAAGCCCAUUGGAAUUAAGCGACCAAUGAAAUAUUCACCAUAGCAAAUGGAGAGGCUGUUGCCGAGUCCUGAGGGCUUGGGGCAGGCAGCAGACAAGGACCUUAUGUGAGUGCUUGUUGUUUCUCACAGCACCUACAGCUCCCACCAGUGCUGCAAGGACUGCCUGUUCUCAGCGCUGUGCUGGGUGAGCAUUCUGAGUGGUCAAAGUCAAGGCUCCUCUCUCCAGGGACCCCCACUGCUGCAGUGAGGAGCGGGGAUAGACCAUCCCCAUCCAUCUGAACUGAAUCUCAGCACUGAUCCCAGCGUUCCAUGAAGCCAUUCCUGCGAGCCAGCUGUCUCCAUACGCCUGGCAGAUGUCUUGGAGCAGGACUGAGCCUUUGCAAGGCAGAGGCUUGGCUUCACCCCUUCCUUUGAGGCACAGCCAGAGCAGGCAGUCCCGUCCCGUCCCGCUGCCCGCUUCUCCCAACAGGCUCCCCUGCAGCGAGACCUCUACGUGCCGUUAGCGUUGAGACUCCUUCAAUGCUCCUCUCAUAUUGCUUUGUGUUCUUACUGCUUCAAUACUAGCGAGGCAAGGUGGUGACUGCACCUCCAUAGCCGGUGGGAGAUGGAAGGAUCCAGACUGUAGCUAAAAAGCUCUCCCACUGCCUGCAUGCGUCUCAGGGCGUGCAAAGAGAUUUCAAAUCCACACGCAGUGAUUCACAAGUGGUCCGAGAUGCUUUGCAGGCAGAACGGGAGAAGAAAAUCGGGAUGAUGUGUGUAAAAAGAAAGGUAGU